RNAcentral lists this ribosomal RNA (288 nucleotides) under Pseudomonas sp. FC19. RNAcentral's name for it is "partial 16S ribosomal RNA". It matches the Rfam family "Bacterial small subunit ribosomal RNA", at positions 46 to 334 of the family's 1533-position model. Lineage: Bacteria; Pseudomonadati; Pseudomonadota; Gammaproteobacteria; Pseudomonadales; Pseudomonadaceae. The record is from RNAcentral.
AGGCCUAACACAUGCAAGUCGAGCGGAAGAGAGAAGCUUGCUCCUCUAGACAGCGGCGGACGGGUGAGUAAUGCCUAGGAAUCUGCCUGGUAGUGGGGGAUAACGUUCCGAAACGGACGCUAAUACCGCAUACGUCCUACGGGAGAAAGCAGGGGACCUUCGGGCCUUGCGCUAUCAGAUGAGCCUAGGUCGGAUUAGCUAGUUGGUGAGGUAAUGGCUCACCAAGGCGACGAUCCGUAACUGGUCUGAGAGGAUGAUCAGUCACACUGGAACUGAGACACGGUCCAG